Molecule: long non-coding RNA, 383 nt
Organism: Pristis pectinata (smalltooth sawfish)
Lineage: Eukaryota; Metazoa; Chordata; Chondrichthyes; Rhinopristiformes; Pristidae
Exons: 3
Source: RefSeq, a predicted model, not a curated record
AAUAAAUGAAAAUUUGCUUUGUGAAAGGUUAUGCAAAAGUUUCUACUCAGCUGUGAUCAAAAUGGUAAUCUGAUCUAUAAAACACCAUGCAGAAAGUGUCACAUAUUGCUCAAAAGUUCAGGACCAUGUACAUAUUUUGCAGACAAGAUAGACUGCAGAUGCUGGAAUCUGGAACAAAAAGCAGAAUGCUGGAUGAACAUCAUCUAUGGAGGCAGACAGCUGCAAGUUGACAUACAAGUAUUGGUAUUGAAAAUUCACAGCUGGAAUAGUCUUAAAGACCGAAAAUUGCUACCUAGCAAACACAAGCAAGUUUCUCUUUGAAGAAUUUAUCCUGUGGAUUAUUACACGUGAGAACAAAAAUCUCUGUUGCCUGUGAAGCAGCU